UAGGGUUUCUGAUCCCUUUUAACAUCAUUACGCUUCUGUUUCUUUAGGGUGUUAUGUGACUAUUCCUAUGAUAUGUGCUUGAAAUCUUUUGUUUUCCGAGCUUCAUGUAUUAAAUCUUUUCUAGGGUUCCGACCCUCUAUUGUUCAUGUGAUUUUUCACUUAGGGUUCUCAAUUUUUGUGACUAUUGAAGUUCGAAUGCCU
RNAcentral lists this long non-coding RNA (201 nucleotides) under Nicotiana benthamiana. RNAcentral's name for it is "long non-coding RNA (NBEN_LNC004817)". Lineage: Eukaryota; Viridiplantae; Streptophyta; Magnoliopsida; Solanales; Solanaceae. The record is from RNAcentral.